Molecule: transfer RNA, 68 nt
Filed under: Podiceps nigricollis (black-necked grebe)
Lineage: Eukaryota; Metazoa; Chordata; Aves; Podicipediformes; Podicipedidae
Also listed under: 4 other names
Description: tRNA-Met
Rfam family: tRNA
About the family: Transfer RNA (tRNA) molecules are approximately 80 nucleotides in length. Their secondary structure includes four short double-helical elements and three loops (D, anti-codon, and T loops).
Source: RNAcentral
AGUAGGGUCAGCUAAAAAAGCUAUCGGGCCCAUACCCCGAAAACGAUGGUUUAACCCUUCCCCUACUA